GCCGGGCGCGGUGGCUCACGCCUGUAAUCCCAGCACUUUGGGAGGCCGAGGCGGGUGGAUUGCUUGAGGUCAGGAGUUCAAGACCAGCCUGACCAACAUGGUGAAACCCCGUCUCUU
This 117-nucleotide non-coding RNA is filed under the name Gorilla gorilla gorilla (western lowland gorilla). The record is from Rfam by way of RNAcentral. Lineage: Eukaryota; Metazoa; Chordata; Mammalia; Primates; Hominidae.